This 345-nucleotide unclassified non-coding RNA is filed under the name soil metagenome. RNAcentral's name for it is "partial contains 5.8S ribosomal RNA, internal transcribed spacer 2, and large subunit ribosomal RNA". The stretch from base 1 to 120 matches the Rfam family "5.8S ribosomal RNA", at positions 35 to 154 of the family's 154-position model. The record is from RNAcentral.
GAUGAAGAACGUAGCGAAAUGCGAUACGUAAUGUGAAUUGCAGAAUUCAGUGAAUCAUCGAGUCUUUGAACGCACAUUGCGCCCCCUGGUAUUCCGGGGGGCAUGCCUGUCCGAGCGUCAUUGCUGCCCUCAAGCACGGCUUGUGUGUUGGGCCUCCGUCCUCCUCCCGGGGGACGGGCCCGAAAGGCAGCGGCGGCACCGCGUCCGGUCCUCGAGCGUAUGGGGCUUCGUCACCCGCUCUUGUAGGCCCGGCCGGCGCUUGCCGACACAUCAAUCUUUUUUCCAGGUUGACCUCGGAUCAGGUAGGGAUACCCGCUAAACUUAAGCAUAUCAAUAAGCGGAGGA